GGGGAUGUAGCUCAGUGGUAGAGCAUUUGCCUCACAUGUAUAAGGUCCCGGGUUCAAUCCCCA
Molecule: transfer RNA, 63 nt
Filed under: Heterocephalus glaber (naked mole-rat)
Lineage: Eukaryota; Metazoa; Chordata; Mammalia; Rodentia; Bathyergidae
Rfam family: tRNA
About the family: Transfer RNA (tRNA) molecules are approximately 80 nucleotides in length. Their secondary structure includes four short double-helical elements and three loops (D, anti-codon, and T loops).
Source: Rfam by way of RNAcentral